UUAAUUGAUUUUUGCUUUUACGCUCAGACGGCCACAAUUUUAAUAGUUAAAGAUGUCCUCCGGCGGGCGCAGGCCCGGGAGAAGCGAACGGCCCCGGUAAAAGGGUCGCGGCCUCCCUCCGGCCGGCCGACUAGCGGCGCGGCCCGCCGAGGCAACUGGGUCGGUAGACACGAAUGGCCGUUUGCCGUCUUUCGACGGCGGGCACGUUAAUGAUCCUUCCGCAGGUUCACCUACGGAAA
RNAcentral lists this unclassified non-coding RNA (239 nucleotides) under uncultured fungus. RNAcentral's name for it is "sequence contains ITS1". The record is from RNAcentral. Lineage: Eukaryota; Fungi.